This 490-nucleotide ribosomal RNA is filed under the name uncultured soil bacterium. RNAcentral's name for it is "bacterial SSU rRNA". It matches the Rfam family "Bacterial small subunit ribosomal RNA", at positions 26 to 518 of the family's 1533-position model. The record is from RNAcentral.
AGGACGAACGCUGGCGGCGUGCUUAACACAUGCAAGUCGAGCGGAAAGGCCUUUCGGGGUACUCGAGCGGCGAACGGGUGAGUAACACGUGAGUAAUCUGCCCAUCGCUUCAGGAUAGCCAUCGGAAACGGUGAUUAAUACUGGAUAUGACAUUCCUUCGCAUGUUGGGGUGUGGAAAGUUUUUUCGGCGGUGGAUGUGCUCGCGGCCUAUCAGCUUGUUGGUGGGGUAAUGGCCUACCAAGGCUUUGACGGGUAGCCGGCCUGAGAGGGUGACCGGCCAACGACGUGGGACUGGAGACACGGCCCAGACUCCUACGGGAGGUAGCAGUGGGAAUAUUGGACAAUGGGCGAAGCCUGAUCCAGCAACGCCGCGUGAGGGAUGACGGCCUUCGGGUUGUAAACCUCUUUCAGCACAGACGAAGUUUGCUUUUUGGUGAAGUUGACGGUAUGUGCGAGAAGAAGGACCGCCGAACUACGUGCCAGCAGCCGC